Molecule: ribosomal RNA, 948 nt
Filed under: Salinicola sp. CR-57
Lineage: Bacteria; Pseudomonadati; Pseudomonadota; Gammaproteobacteria; Oceanospirillales; Halomonadaceae
Description: bacterial SSU rRNA
Rfam family: Bacterial small subunit ribosomal RNA
Source: RNAcentral
UGCAAGUCGAGCGGCAGCACGGGGAGCUUGCUCCCUGGUGGCGAGCGGCGGACGGGUGAGUAAUGCAUAGGAAUCUGCCCGGUAGUGGGGGAUAACGUGGGGAAACCCACGCUAAUACCGCAUACGUCCUACGGGAGAAAGCGGAGGAUCUUCGGACUUCGCGCUAUCGGAUGAGCCUAUGUCGGAUUAGCUAGUUGGUAAGGUAACGGCUUACCAAGGCGACGAUCCGUAGCUGGUCUGAGAGGAUGAUCAGCCACACUGGGACUGAGACACGGCCCAGACUCCUACGGGAGGCAGCAGUGGGGAAUAUUGGACAAUGGGCGAAAGCCUGAUCCAGCCAUGCCGCGUGUGUGAAGAAGGCUUUCGGGUUGUAAAGCACUUUCAGCGAGGAAGAAGGCCUCUGGGUUAAUACCCCAGAGGAAGGACAUCACUCGCAGAAGAAGCACCGGCUAACUCCGUGCCAGCAGCCGCGGUAAUACGGAGGGUGCGAGCGUUAAUCGGAAUUACUGGGCGUAAAGCGCGCGUAGGUGGCUUGGCACGCCGGUUGUGAAAGCCCCGGGCUCAACCUGGGAACGGCAUCCGGAACGGCCAGGCUAGAGUGCAGGAGAGGAAGGUAGAAUUCCCGGUGUAGCGGUGAAAUGCGUAGAGAUCGGGAGGAAUACCAGUGGCGAAGGCGGCCUUCUGGCCUGACACUGACACUGAGGUGCGAAAGCGUGGGUAGCAAACAGGAUUAGAUACCCUGGUAGUCCACGCCGUAAACGAUGUCGACUAGCCGUUGGGACCUUUAAGGACUUAGUGGCGCAGUUAACGCGAUAAGUCGACCGCCUGGGGAGUACGGCCGCAAGGUUAAAACUCAAAUGAAUUGACGGGGGCCCGCACAAGCGGUGGAGCAUGUGGUUUAAUUCGAUGCAACGCGGAAGAACCUUACCUACCCUUGACAUCCAGAGA